AGUGAACGCUGGCGGUAGGCCUAACACAUGCGAGUCGAACGGCAGCACAGUAAGAGCUUGCUCUUACGGGUGGCGAGUGGCGGACGGGUGAGGAAUACAUCGGAAUCUACUUUUUCGUGGGGGAUAACGUAGGGAAACUUACGCUAAUACCGCAUACGACCUACGGGUGAAAGCAGGGGAUCUUCGGACCUUGCGCGAUUGAAUGAGCCGAUGUCGGAUUAGCUAGUUGGCGGGGUAAAGGCCCACCAAGGCGACGAUCCGUAGCUGGUCUGAGAGGAUGGUCAGCCACACUGGAACUGAGACACGGUCCAGACUCCUACGGGAGGCAGCAGUGGGGAAUAUUGGACAAUGGGCGCAAUCCUGAUCCAGCCAUACCGCGUGGGUGAAGAAGGCCUUCGGGUUGUAAAGCCCUUUUGUUGGGAAAGAAAAGCAGCAGGUUAAUACCCCGCUGUUCUGACGGUACCCAAAGAAUAAGCACCGGCUAACUUCGUG
RNAcentral lists this ribosomal RNA (492 nucleotides) under uncultured bacterium. RNAcentral's name for it is "partial 16S ribosomal RNA". It matches the Rfam family "Bacterial small subunit ribosomal RNA", at positions 29 to 507 of the family's 1533-position model. The record is from RNAcentral.